This 1365-nucleotide long non-coding RNA is filed under the name Homo sapiens (human). RNAcentral's name for it is "HSALNT0288009". Lineage: Eukaryota; Metazoa; Chordata; Mammalia; Primates; Hominidae. The record is from RNAcentral.
AAGCUGGUCUCAAACUCCUGACCUCAAGUUAUCUGCCUGCCUUGGCCUCUCGAAGUGCUGGGAUUAUAGGCGUGAGCCACUGCACCCUGCCAUGGAUAUGGACAACUGAUUUCUGAACACCUGGGAAGAACACAGGAUUGGCAUUGCUGUGAGGGCCUCUGCCAUACCGGGCUCUCCAGGCCAAGGCAAGACAGAGAGUGACCUGGGAGCACCUUUGUUGUGCCAUCUAUAGCAAAAAGACACUUGGGUGCAAGUGGGAAUCUUGAGUCACUUUGAGGAGCAUUGCACAAAGCCCUAUGUCUUCAGCCAAGUGCACCCUUUCCUUUUCUGGCUCCAGGAAGUGACAUGGCCUAGCCAUGCAUCCUGGCACCACCAAGGGCCCGUGACUGCCUCUGCUUCCAUGUCCCUUUCAGUCUCUACCUCUACAAAUGCCUCAGCUUUUACCUCCACUCCCAAUUCCAUUCGGCCACACUACAUCUCUCUGCCACAGCCUCAGAGAAUCCUGAAGACACUGCUGUGAUUAUUGGCCUGACGCACCCUGUGGUACCACUGAGAGUUGUGAAGUUGUCUACCAUUCUACUGCAUGAGUUGCAGUAGAACCCCUGGCUGGUGAGAGGGGCAGCAAGAAAUGACCUGACAUUGCUACUCCUCCAAGAUGUCCAGACUACCAUUCGGCUCUUAGUACCCUUAGGGAGAGACUGAUGAGAAUCCAGAAAUGUUAAAGAUGCAAGUGAUGGAAGCUUCCAGCUGUGCCCACCUGUAACCUGACAUAGUUCCAUUGUUUGCUUCAUUACUCAGGCCAAAGACUCUAAUGCAAAUGUGGAGUCAGUGUGUCCAGGAAGUGACAUUAUCUGCAGACCAAUACUGGCAAUGGCAGUUGGAGACAAAUAGGCUUCACCAGUCUCAAAGCCCUACCUACUACAAUGAGUCCACACUUCUCCUGGAUUUUAUCUACUUCAGCAAAAGAAGGCCACCCACCAAACCAGGCCAUUGUGCUUUGGGUGGAAACUCCUAAGUCCUAUAGUCUCCUUAAACAGCCAACCACACUGCCACUUUCCUCAAUAAUUACUGCAGCCCUGAGACUUUGGUAGCCUAGUAACUAUAACUACUGAUGCUACAGUCUGGUCACAGUAUGAUAAAACACCAGAGCAACAAAAACAAAAAUAUUGACUUAAGCCUUCUAAAAUCUCUCUAAAUAUACCUUCAAUAAAUAUGUUUUUUUCUACAGAACAACUGCUUUCUACUUCCUGAACUAACGUUUGGCCUUGGAUUUUUCUCAUUGUUGAAAUUGAUUCAAAAGUAUACAUUUAACAUGAAGGUGAUUAUAGAAUUUCAUGUGUCAGCAACUAAAAUUUUCAAAAUGAU